UGGAUUGUGGAUGAACAUUCAUAGCAUCUUUAUUUUUUAAUAUUGAACAAUUUUUUAAAAAUUUGAAAUCCAG
Small nucleolar RNA from Ochotona curzoniae (black-lipped pika), 73 nucleotides. RefSeq annotates it as small nucleolar RNA SNORD113/SNORD114 family. The record is from RefSeq and is a predicted model, not a curated record. Lineage: Eukaryota; Metazoa; Chordata; Mammalia; Lagomorpha; Ochotonidae. The transcript has a single exon.